Molecule: long non-coding RNA, 1530 nt
Filed under: Cicer arietinum (chickpea)
Lineage: Eukaryota; Viridiplantae; Streptophyta; Magnoliopsida; Fabales; Fabaceae
Description: long non-coding RNA (CARI_LNC003205)
Source: RNAcentral
CCACAUCCAUAAAUCUUUUCUAUGAAAUCAAAUUAAUGAUUGAAAACUUUUUUUAUAAAUUAAUAUACUAAAAGUGUUCCCUUUAAUGUCAAGCUCCUCAAUCAACUGGGUGGAUAAAUUAAACCAAACUAUUUCACCAUCUUUUUUCUGAAAAAAUAAAUCACCUUUCUUCCCUGCACCAAUAGGAAGUCUAAUACCAGACAACGGCCCAAUAGUAAAAAGUUUAGUCCAUGAUUCUUUCUUUCCAAUUUCUCCCAAAAUCGAUAUAUUAAAAGUAGUAUUAUCUAAAAACCAUGAGAUCAAAGCAAUAGACCCAUUUAACACCAUUAAGGAGAUUGGUAUGUCAUCAGCUUUAAAAUCAUCAUCCACGCCUUGAAGUGUUCCUACAGGUAUAGGUGUCGUAAUAAUCUUCUCGGUGACUAAGUCAAACGACGCUAAGUCUCUUCCAUCAAGAACACCCUUAAAAUGCCACCAAUGACACAAAAGCCACUCUAGAAUGUAGCGGUAUAAAAGAGACAUCUUCGUCAAUUUUUCUCCAAGAGUUACUUCUAAGGCUAUAUAUUUCGUAGUCGCAAACAAAUUCUGGGUAACAAACAUAAUCAGGACUUCCAUCAUAAUAUUGAUAAUCCCCAUAAAAGAAACAUGCACCCGUAAUCAACUUAUAAUCAUUUUUAACAUGGUCAUAACCAAAUCCAAGUGGAAUAUCGUGAUCUCUUACAUAAGGUGAUACAGGCUCAAGAGGGCUUUCAGGGAUGAUCUUGAAUUCCUCUGUUGUUGGAUUCCAUAAUACAAAUCUUUUAUCACAAAAAAAUCUUUUAUCACUAUGGUAGAGACAAAGAAUUCCGGUAAUACUACCAGAAUCCAAAACCCAUAAAGAAGGGUCUUCAUCUUGAAAUGGAUUUGGCAAAUCCAAUUUGACUACAUCCUCAAAACUAUCUCUAGGAAAUGAACACAAAUCUUUAUCAGUAAGUUGUAGGAGAAGAGAUGUAUCAUCGUAGUACGAAUGAUCAUAAGAGAGGAAAUUGUUUUGAAAGAUACUCAAGAAUUUAUGGUUUUCAAAUAACAAAAGCCAUGAUUUACGUACGCAUCCAAAUCGCUUCAAAGAUUUUAGUGGCAAUUUUGAUAGAAUACAAAAUGCAAGAUCGUCGCAUAUGUAGUUUUUAACCUUUUCUUUUGUCACACUUGCAUAUUUUUCCAUCUCUACUUGUAAUCGUAAACUGGUUGACAAGAGAGAUGUUGUGAUUUUGAUCAAGUAUUUAGAGAAUAAAACAAAGGGUAAAACUAACUAUAUAGGUGCUUGAGUUAAAAAAAUUUGAAACAAAAAUAUCUAUGUGAAGUAGCUAUUAAUAGUAUUAUCUAAAAAUCGAUAUAUUAAAAGUAGUAUUAUCUAAAAACUAUGAGAUCAAAGCAAUAGACCCAUUUAACACCAUUAAGGAGAUUGGUAUGUCAUCAACCUUAAAAUCAUCAUCCACGUCUUGAAGUAUUCCUACAGGUAUAGGUGUCGUAAUAAUCUUCUCGGUGACUAAGUCA